AGCGAACGCUGGCGGCAGGCUUAACACAUGCAAGUCGAGCGGACGUAGCAAUACGUCAGCGGCAGACGGGUGAGUAACGCGUGGGAACGUACCUUUUGGUUCGGAACAACCCAGGGAAACUUGGGCUAAUACCGGAUAAGCCCUUACGGGGAAAGAUUUAUCGCCGAAAGAUCGGCCCGCGUCUGAUUAGCUAGUUGGUGAGGUAACGGCUCACCAAGGCGACGAUCAGUAGCUGGUCUGAGAGGAUGAUCAGCCACAUUGGGACUGAGACACGGCCCAAACUCCUACGGGAGGCAGCAGUGGGGAAUAUUGGACAAUGGGCGCAAGCCUGAUCCAGCCAUGCCGCGUGAGUGAU
RNAcentral lists this ribosomal RNA (355 nucleotides) under uncultured bacterium. Its description in RNAcentral is "bacterial SSU rRNA". It matches the Rfam family "Bacterial small subunit ribosomal RNA", at positions 29 to 409 of the family's 1533-position model. The record is from RNAcentral.